AUUUUACACUGUAUUCUAAUUCAAAUGUCAUACUGAGAUUGGAAUAUUUAUUGGACUGUAAAUGUGGGGUUUGGUAGUGGUAAAGCUUUGGGAAAAAAUGGCUAUUGGGAUAAAACCUCCCUUGUAAUUUGCUAGUAUUACUCCCCGGGACCCUUUGGAGGAUGAGGGCCAUCGAGUCCAGCCCAAGACUGUAUGUCCCGGCACGAUUCACUUAUUCCAUGAGGCAAGUCAAUGGUGCAAUUGGAAUAGCUUCUCAUUAUUUCCUAGGUUUUAGUUGUGGAGGGAAAAUGUCGGGAGAUGUGUGGUUAUUUGUUACAUUCACAGCAUGUGAAGGUGAUGAGGCUCGCAUGCUAUUUUGGCCUUUCCUUAGGCCUGAGAGGGUGUAUCUUCAAGGAAGAGGAGCGCCACUCUGUUAUCGUUUUUAACCAGUUUUAUUACUUACACAUAAUUUCAACAUGAAAAAUCCCUCUGUUAUAUUGUAGUAAGUGAACCUAAACGGUAUUUUUAAGGCCUUUUUGGUUUGAGGAAACCUUUUCUAUUUUCACAUAUAACUACCGAAAUGUGACUUUGUUCUCAGUAUAUUUCUGGUUUUUAGAGAUUGUUAAAAUAAACAGUGAAAAAUAAACUAUCAUUUUCAUAACUUACUAACAAAUAUUUUUAAAGAGGAAAUAGAAUGAAACUGAUUUGACAUUUUUGUAAUUAUUUGUGCAAAGACAACUGAAAAAAAAAAAUUCUUAAACUGAAAUUGCCCUUAAUUUCUCGGAUAGAAAAUGUCCUCAAUUUGCUAUCUUUGCUAGUGCCUUGAAUAAUUGUUCACUUUGUUUCCAAGGCUUCACUUUUACUUCUUAUUAAGCAUUCAGUUAAUGUUAUAGUGGAUCAUUUCGAUAUAGCAAAUUGUGAUUUUCUUGUCUAUUUGUCUAUUUUACUGUUCGAACUGUCUACAUUUUGUUUGUAUUAUUGCAUCCGUCAUAUCGUUUAUGUCUCCAUUUUCUGCUUCUGGUUUAAAAAUUGUCUUUUGGGCUUACCUUCUGUAUUUACGACUUAGGUUUUCUACACCCAGGAAAGAUUGAUGUGGACUCCCCACUCUCACUGAUGGCUUUGCAAAAUCUUAAAUUAGAAAGGUUGAAUUUGGAGCAUACGCAAGUUAGGGAUGAAGCUUUAUACCCCUUGUCAAGCUUCUUAGAGCUGAAAUAUUUAUCACUUAAAAGUGCUUCUCUUGCAGACGUCUCGCUUUACUAUUUAUCGUCAAUUCCAAAAUUGACAAAUCUUAGUGUUUGUGAUGCGGUAUUGACAAAUUAUGGGAUUGAUAUAUUUAAGGCUCCUGAAACUCUGAAACUGCUGGACCUCAGAGGUUGUUGGCUCUUAACAGAAGACAUUAUCUUGUCAUUCUGUAGACGUCAUCCACAAGUUGAAGUCAUACAUGAACUUGGUACAGUAUAUCCUUUUAAUAAAAAUGGUCCUCAUCAUUCCUCUCCAUCUCGAUCAACUUCUAGGACUUUGCAAAUGGCUAAGAAGAAAGAUCAAGCUCCGGUAUUACCGUAUCUUGCAGAUCAAAGAUUAAAGUAUAGCAGGGAUGAGUUACUUGCAUUGCAGUUUGCGUCCUUGCCUCCUGCAUCUAGUAGUGAGAGUAGCAAUUCAACAUUUGAGAAACAAUUGGACUGAAUGGUGAAAUCUCCCUUUAUAUAAUUGUUUGCACUGAUGGCAUUGGCGAGGGUAUGUGAUAUGAACAGAGAGGAUUAAUAGCCCGAGUCCGAUGUAGUUCAUUUGUUCAUAAUUCGAAUGCACAUGGUCAAAGAAGAAUCAUGUUUCUGUUAGAGAAAUCGAAUGUGAUGGUGAGCCUUGGUUCCAACUUACCAUGGCUUACAUGUAGAUAUGCAACGUGGAUUAAGAAAGGUUUAGUGAUAUUAUUGUGUGUUUUGGCUGACACGUGCCUUUUGUAUUGGGGUGCAGAGUGGACACAUGGGAUGUUGUGAAGGAUUGCUUCUACUUAGUAGUUUCUGCAGGCUCUCCCAAGUAUAGAAGAUUGCAGUCAUCAGGAUGGUGUUGCUUCAGACAAAUCGUUAACUACGCACUAGAUCACUCCAUGACACUUUGUGAUGGUUUGUACUAAUUAUGAUAAAUCUGAAGGGUGGACAAUUUCAAGGUGUCUUGCUCGUGUUUUUAUUUGAUUUCUCAUAUAAAUAUGUAGAAGCAGCCUGUUCCCUCGGUGUCAAUUGUUCCUAUAUAGGGUACUCGGGUAGGAGAAGUACUACACUAUGGGAGUUAGUUAAAUGAGAAGGAACACUAUAUACAGAAAUUGGCACUUAAGUUUGUGUUUUCAUCGUACUCAGCCAAUCACAAUUCACAGUUAUUCGUAAAAUUCUAUGCUUUUAUUAAGCAAUCAGAUCGAGGACAGGCUGGAAUGGCAGCUAAUUGAGGAAGGGAUCAAACGAUGCCAUUGUAAGUUAUACUAACUAUAUCAUUUUCAAUAACUCAAUCGCCUUUUUUAU
Non-coding RNA from Vigna umbellata (rice bean), 2489 nucleotides. The record is from RefSeq and is a predicted model, not a curated record. Lineage: Eukaryota; Viridiplantae; Streptophyta; Magnoliopsida; Fabales; Fabaceae.